Molecule: ribosomal RNA, 408 nt
Filed under: Salmonella enterica
Lineage: Bacteria; Pseudomonadati; Pseudomonadota; Gammaproteobacteria; Enterobacterales; Enterobacteriaceae
Description: partial 23S ribosomal RNA
Rfam family: Bacterial large subunit ribosomal RNA
Source: RNAcentral
AAAUCCGGUUCACUUUAACACUGAGGCGUGACGACGAGGCACUACGGUGCUGAAGCAACAAAUGCCCUGCUUCCAGGAAAAGCCUCUAAGCAUCAGGUAACAUCAAAUCGUACCCCAAACCGACACAGGUGGUCAGGUAGAGAAUACCAAGGCGCUUGAGAGAACUCGGGUGAAGGAACUAGGCAAAAUGGUGCCGUAACUUCGGGAGAAGGCACGCUGACACGUAGGUGAAGUGAUUUACUCAUGGAGCUGAAGUCAGUCGAAGAUACCAGCUGGCUGCAACUGUUUAUUAAAAACACAGCACUGUGCAAACACGAAAGUGGACGUAUACGGUGUGACGCCUGCCCGGUGCCGGAAGGUUAAUUGAUGGGGUCAGCGCAAGCGAAGCUCCUGAUCGAAGCCCCGGUA